Molecule: non-coding RNA, 374 nt
Rfam family: transfer-messenger RNA
About the family: Bacterial tmRNA, also known as 10Sa RNA or SsrA, is named for its dual tRNA and mRNA-like properties. Its role is to liberate the mRNA from a stalled ribosome.
Source: Rfam
GGGGAUGAUCGGUUUCGACGGCGGUCGUCGAUCGAGGGGAAGCGGGCCGAGAAUGCGCGCUCAACUCGCAAACGCUGCGUGCAAACCAAUAGGUGCCGAACAGAACCGCACCGACUACGUUCUCGCCGCCUGAUUGCCGCGUGAACCUUUAGUCCGUCAGCCCAGGUGGUGCCUCCAGCCUGGUGUCUGGCGUCGUUCAGGAGGCCACUGGGUGCGGACCAUGUCGGUGGGUCCGUUCCGACACUCAAUCGACUGAGCUUACUGGCAGCAGGCCUGCAUGACGUCAGGGGCUGAGAAAUAAACAGCAGGAUGCGCCCGGAGAAGACCUCGGGGUCGGCCGUCGGACGGGGGUUCGAUUCCCCCCAUCUCCACCA